Long non-coding RNA from Pseudoliparis swirei, 551 nucleotides. RefSeq lists it as uncharacterized. The record is from RefSeq and is a predicted model, not a curated record. Lineage: Eukaryota; Metazoa; Chordata; Actinopteri; Perciformes; Liparidae. The transcript has 3 exons.
CAGCUCGUAUAAACACAGUUCUCACGUUCCAUGUUGAGGCACUGAGAACGGUGACGUCACUUUCCAGUCAAGUUUAAACUUAUGUUCCUUUGCUCAACUUCAGGUCUGAGGAGCUCGGUUCAGGUCUGAGGAGCUCGGUUAAGGUCUCGGUUCAGGUCUGAGGAGCUCGGUUCAGGUCUGAGGAGCUCGGUUCAGGUCUGGGGAGCUCGGUUCAGGUCUCGGGAGCUCGGUUAACGUCUCGGUUCAGGUCUCGGGAGCUCGGUUAAGGUCUCGGGAGCUCGGUUAAGGUCUCGGUUCAGGUCUCGGGAGCUCGGUUCAGGUCUGAGGACCUCGGUUAAGGUCUCGGUUCAGGUCUCGGGAGCUCGGUUAAGGUCUCGGUUCAGGUCUGAGGAGCUCUGUUCAGGUCUCGGUUCAGGUCUCGGUUCAGGUCUGAGGAGCUCUGUUCAGGUCUCGGGAGCUUGGUUAAGGUCUCGGUUCAGGUCUGAGGAGCUCUGUUCAGGUCUCGGGAGCUCGGUUCAGGUCUGAGCUCGGGCUCAGUCUGCCGGCUUUGG